This 956-nucleotide long non-coding RNA is filed under the name Rattus norvegicus (Norway rat). RNAcentral describes it as "small integral membrane protein 30 like 1 (Smim30l1)". Lineage: Eukaryota; Metazoa; Chordata; Mammalia; Rodentia; Muridae. The record is from RNAcentral.
CCUGUAAUGGCUGCUUUCAGUCAGGCUGUGUCACGAGUAACCUCUUAGCCUCAGCAUCCGGAAGUUCCAAAGAGAAUAUUUCACGUUGGAUAGAAUUUUACAUAUACCAUUGUUUUUGGCAGGUUCAGCCCUCCAGAUCCUAACAUCAUGAAUUCAGUUCCAACACAACUGAUCUUAGUCCUUACUUCGCUGCUUUUGAUCCUGCCUGGCGUUGAAGCAGUCGAAGCUGGAGAUGCGAUUGCACUCUUAUUAGGUGUGGUUCUCAGUGUUACAGGCAUCUGUGCUUGCUUGGGGAUAUAUGCAAGAAAGCGAAAUGGACAGAUAUGACUUUGAAGGACUCUUCUGAAUUAGACUUCACCCUGACCAUUGUGCUGAAAACCCUUGUGCUGUUGAGGCCGAACCCAAGAUUUGCUCUCACCUGUCCUCAGAAAGAGGAUUACAGUUAGCUGAGGGUUAACACCCUCAGUUAAGAGAAUGCUUUCCUGUUCAUACUUGUUUCUCCUAUGAUGGGAGCAGAUGGGGUGGGGGGAGAGGCUCUUAACAACAAAGAGUGCAGUAAUAAUGUGGCCCAUAAUUUGUAUUUGCUGCUUGGGAGGUGGCCAAAGCGAGAGGGCUUAAGUUUGCAAAAGUAUUAUCUCAUACUUUGAAAGUGUUUGUUCAGAAUCUAGUAAAUCUACAUCGUUAUUAUAAUCACUGCCUCUUGCAUUCUGGGGGUUCUCUCUUUCAUUUGGGGGGUUGGAUUGGGUUUUGGAUUUGUUUUUUUGUUGUUACUGUUUUCUUUUUAAUGCUUCUGUUUUUAACAUAGUUGUACUUAGAUCUUAAUAGCCAAAAAUUGAAACUUUUAACUCUGAGGAAAAGUUUAAUAAAAAUGUAUUAAAUGUAUCUAAUACUAAAAUGGUGAAAAUAUUUGUUAAAAAAAUAACUAUACAUUAAAAAAAAAAAAAAAAAAAAAAAAA